Molecule: ribosomal RNA, 496 nt
Filed under: uncultured bacterium
Lineage: Bacteria
Description: partial 16S ribosomal RNA
Rfam family: Bacterial small subunit ribosomal RNA
Source: RNAcentral
AUGAACGCUGGCGGCGUGCCUAAUACAUGCAAGUCGAGCGAACAGACGAGGAGCUUGCUCCUCUGACGUUAGCGGCGGACGGGUGAGUAACACGUGGAUAACCUACCUAUAAGACUGGGAUAACUUCGGGAAACCGGAUCUAAUACCGGAUAAUAUAUUGAACCGCAUGGUUCAAUAGUGUAAGACGGUUUUGCUCUCACUUAUAGAUGGAUCCGCGCCGCAUUAGCUAGUUGGUAAGGUAACGGCUUACCAAGGCAACGAUGCGUAGCCGACCUGAGAGGGUGAUCGGCCACACUGGAACUGAGACACGGUCCAGACUCCUACGGGAGGCAGCAGUAGGGAAUCUUGCGCAAUGGGCGAAAGCCUGACGGAGCAACGCCGCGUGAGUGAUGAAGGUCUUCGGAUCGUAAAACUCUGUUAUUAGGGAAGAAAAAAUGUGUAAGUAACUAUGCACGUCUUGACGGUACCUAAUGAGAAAGCCACGGCUAACUACGUG